GGAGUAGUUACAACUUUUUUUUUUUUUUUGAGACAGAGUCUCGCUCUGUUGCCCAGGCUGGAGUGCAGUGGCACGAUCUCGGCUCACUGCAAGCUCCGCCUUCCGGGUUCACGCCAUUCUCCUGCCUCAGCUCCCUGAGUAGCUGGGACUACAGGCGCCCUCGCGCCUGGCUGAUUUUUUGUAUUUUUAGCAGAGACGGAGUUUCACCAUGUUAGCCAGGAUGGUCUUGAUUUUCUGACCUUGUAAUCCGGCUGCCUCAGCCUCCCAAAGUGCUGGGAUUACAAGCGUGAGCCACUGCGCCCGGCCUAGUUGAGGAGUAAAUGGACUGGAUUAAAGUUAAACCAUAACCCCAAAUUCAGGAACUUCUGCGCACAGUGCUUGCUUAUCUGAUUAUGUGCUUGCUUAGAAAUUCCAGAGACCAAUUUUGAAACGAAACAGGUAAAGAAACCAAGUGGCAGAAUCCUCCCGCUUAGAAGGAGUACGAAUAGUUAGCUCACCACUCUCCGGCCCAAGUCAGGAUGACACCAACCCAACAGGCAAUUACUCAAGAUAAACAUCGGAACUAGACAUGCAGACCUGCGCCUUCCUGCACCACUACCAUAUAUUUCCCAUACCUUUUCCUGCCAAAACCCCUUCACUCAGCCCAAAAGGCAGAGAUGGCUUCUUUGAGGCAGAAGCCCGGCCAUCUCCCAUCUGCUAGCAUUUGAUCAAUAAAGUUGCCUUCCUUUCCUUUCACCAUGCCUUGCUUCUCAUGUUUUUGGUCUCUGAGUGGUGAGCAGCUGAUUACUGGUUACAAUAAUAAAAUCUCAAAAGAUCUUAACUGUUAUUGUUUUGAUCAUAU
This 841-nucleotide long non-coding RNA is filed under the name Homo sapiens (human). RNAcentral describes it as "HSALNT0337719". Lineage: Eukaryota; Metazoa; Chordata; Mammalia; Primates; Hominidae. The record is from RNAcentral.